This 200-nucleotide long non-coding RNA is filed under the name Elaeis guineensis (African oil palm). RNAcentral describes it as "long non-coding RNA (EGUI_LNC058168)". The record is from RNAcentral. Lineage: Eukaryota; Viridiplantae; Streptophyta; Magnoliopsida; Arecales; Arecaceae.
AUGAGACUAUCACGGAGCUUGGGAGAGCAAAUGUGAGGGUGAGAUGUAGAGUUUCUAGUGGAAGGAUAGGGAUUUUUGGAAGAGUGAUAUCCCGAUUUGGAAGAGACGGGUGGAAUCUAGGGCACGCUCAAUCCACUCCAAAUAAGGGAGGAGAAGGGGAAGAACUUGAUUCCUAAGGGUCGAUUUGAGGUGUAAGGGGU